RNAcentral lists this long non-coding RNA (1407 nucleotides) under Oryza brachyantha (malo sina). RNAcentral describes it as "long non-coding RNA (OBRA_LNC001093)". Lineage: Eukaryota; Viridiplantae; Streptophyta; Magnoliopsida; Poales; Poaceae. The record is from RNAcentral.
GUUUGACAUAUAAGGCCAUUGAAAACAUAAGCACUUGUAGGUUUAUUUUUCCCUCAAUAAAAUAUGGUGUUAAACAUGGAAACUAAGAUUGACACCUAAACUAUACACUAUCUAGAAAUGUACAUGAUGACACUAGACAAUAAUAGGACAAAAGAUAUUAGAGAUAAUUGAUGCUUACACAAAGUUCUAUUCUAGUGGGUUCAUUAAAAGAGUCGGUGUUGCAUGGACCACAUCAAAAACUUGUCCUAUGUGAAGUUUCCGAUGACGCAACACAUAGUUGAGAGAUGGUAAAGGUUCAUGACAUACUAGCGAACAAUGUGCAAUCAUGUGAUGUUUUUCGUGUUAUUGGGAACAGGGUCCCCAUAGCCUUGUGAUGAUCAAACCAAUCGAAUAACCCGGGGAUAGUCACCCUAGGGGUUCAACCCCAAUCUAAAUUACCACAAGCUAUCCCACCUAGGAAGGUCGUCAACUCAAGGAUUCUAAGUUGGCCUUCCCCUCGGGAUCAUAGGGUUGCACUAGAAAGCAACAGGUGAUGCACACAUAUGAACAUGCUCUUUUUAGAAUACACGAUGGAUGGUUAACUCUCCCUAUUCCACAUGGUGGGAUUGGGUCAUGAGUCACCUUGUUUUGUUUGGCCCGAUGAGGCUAUCAGUGGACAUAGUCUAGAGAUGCACUGCUGGCCACCCCUACUACAGCGUACAAGAUUUGACUUACUAAACACCCCACUUGACUUAGAUUGUGGGUACCCAGAAGAGUAUAUAAUUGGACAACCUGGACCAAGUGAAGGACCUUUGGAUUGCUAGCGACUUGACAGCCUUAGCCAAGCACUAAGCAAUACAACACAUAAGAGUAGGGUAAUAUGCACAAUGCAUCCCAAACCUAUAUAAACUCUUUGUUUAUUGUUUGCUUCAAACCCAAGGAGCUCUUGUGUUGGAUUUGGCGUGCUUAAUCUUAAACCCUGGGCAAAAACAAAGAGGGCUCACUCAGGUCUCCACUUUUGGUUUUUGUUUGCCAGCCAUACUGCUUGCUGAAAACCUUAUUCGUCCUCUCCUAUUGUAAGACAUGAGAGGCAACAAUUUCAAAGACCUUUUUCCUGAUCACUAGUUCACACUAGCAGAUGAUGGGGGAUGGAGUAGACUAUAUAUGAAGAUGUAGUAUAUAGGGGGAUGAAAACUCUAGAAACCUAGCGUUGAUGUGGCGCCUAGGUAUUUAUAUAGAUACAAGGAUGUGUGAUCAACACUACUACAUGAUCUUCAUAAGUCUUAUGUGAACAAGAUAAAUCAUGCAUAACCUAUUGGGACUAUAUGCCACAAUAAUACACUAGAUAAUUUGUUGUUAUUUGUAGCAACCAGGAGAUAAAUUUGGUGGACUAUUUAUACACAUGUUGUGUGUUCAUGCUUGUCACCC